GAUGAACGCUGACAGAAUGCUUAACACAUGCAAGUCAACUUGAACUUCGGUUUGGGUGGCGGACGGGUGAGUAACGCGUAAAGAACUUGCCUCACAGUUAGGGACAACAUUUGGAAACGAAUGCUAAUACCUGAUAUUAUGAUUUUAGGGCAUCCUAGAAUUAUGAAAGCUAUAUGCGCUGUGAGAGAGCUUUGCGUCCCAUUAGCUAGUUGGAGAGGUAACGGCUCACCAAGGCGAUGAUGGGUAGCCGGCCUGAGAGGGUGAACGGCCACAAGGGGACUGAGACACGGCCCGUACGCCUACGGGAGGCAGCAGUGGGGAAUAUUGGACAAUGGACCAAGAGUCUGGUCAAGCAAUUCUGUGUGCACGAUGAAGUUUUUCGGAAUGUAAAGUGCUUUCAGUUGGGAAGAAAAAAAUGACGGUACCAACAGAAGAAGUGACGGCUAAAUACGUG
RNAcentral lists this ribosomal RNA (454 nucleotides) under uncultured bacterium. RNAcentral's name for it is "partial 16S ribosomal RNA". It matches the Rfam family "Bacterial small subunit ribosomal RNA", at positions 28 to 507 of the family's 1533-position model. The record is from RNAcentral.